RNAcentral lists this long non-coding RNA (253 nucleotides) under Callithrix jacchus (white-tufted-ear marmoset). RNAcentral describes it as "lncRNA (ENSCJAG00000072779.1)". The record is from RNAcentral. Lineage: Eukaryota; Metazoa; Chordata; Mammalia; Primates; Cebidae.
CCUGGUUUCCCUUCUGCCAUGAUUGUACUUCCUGAGGGUGCCCAGCCAUGCAGAACCAUGGAGUUUUCCUCUUGUUGCCCAGGCUCAAGUGAAUGAAGUGAUCUCAGUUACUGCAACCUCCACCUCCCGGGUUCAAGCGAUUCUCCUGCCUCAGCCUCUGAGUAGCUGGGAUUACAGGUAUGCACCACCAUGCCCAGCUAAUUUUGUAUUUUUAGUAGAGAUAGGUUUCUCUAUGUUGGUCAGGCUGGUCUCG